This 356-nucleotide unclassified non-coding RNA is filed under the name uncultured fungus. RNAcentral describes it as "partial contains small subunit ribosomal RNA, internal transcribed spacer 1, and 5.8S ribosomal RNA". The stretch from base 1 to 73 matches the Rfam family "Eukaryotic small subunit ribosomal RNA", at positions 1759 to 1831 of the family's 1831-position model. Lineage: Eukaryota; Fungi. The record is from RNAcentral.
GCAAACUUGGUCAUUUAGAGGAAGUAAAAGUCGUAACAAGGUUUCCGUAGGUGAACCUGCGGAAGGAUCAUUACUGAAUUCAUGAAGGGGUUGUAGCUGGCUUUGGAGCAUGUGCACGCCCUUUCAAAUUCAUCUUAAACCACUUGUGCACUUCUGUAGACUAUGAUAGCUCUCAGUGGUAAAACGCUGGAUAAGAGAGACUGCGACUUAGCUGUCUUUCGAUUUCAUAGUCUAUGUUUUAUAUCAUAUACUAAAGUCCUAGAAUGUUUAUUGUAAUGGGUCUUAGUUGACCUAUAGAACUUAAUACAACUUUCAACAACGGAUCUCUUGGCUCUCGCAUCGAUGAAGAACGCAGC